Molecule: RNase P RNA, 262 nt
Filed under: Hadesarchaea archaeon
Lineage: Archaea; Methanobacteriati; Hadarchaeota (SeqCode); Hadarchaeia (SeqCode)
Description: partial RNase P RNA component
Rfam family: Archaeal RNase P
About the family: Ribonuclease P (RNase P) is a ubiquitous endoribonuclease, found in archaea, bacteria and eukarya as well as chloroplasts and mitochondria.
Source: RNAcentral
GCGAGCCGGUGGGUGGCUGCCGGGCGAAAGCCUGAGGAAACUCCGUCCACCGGGCAGGACCGCGAGCCCGCAAGGGCUAGGCCGGGAGGCCUGCUCCUGAAACAGAAACGAAACCCGCCACUCUGAACGAUGAUGCGAAAGCUGAGAUGGAGUGGAGAGGGAUGAAACGGUCAGUCCGCGGGGUGCAAGGACAAGCACCGCCUAUGAGCCCCUGCCUGAGGCGGGGGUAGUCCGCUUAGUCAAAUGCCACCUAAAACAGAAG